Molecule: transfer RNA, 71 nt
Filed under: Marmota monax (woodchuck)
Lineage: Eukaryota; Metazoa; Chordata; Mammalia; Rodentia; Sciuridae
Description: tRNA.Ala
Source: RNAcentral
GGGGUUGUGGCUCAGUGGUAGAGUGCUCCCUUAGCGUGUGCGAGGCCCUGGGUUCCAUCCUCAGCACCACA